UACGUAGGGGGCGAGCGUUGUCCGGAUUUAUUGGGCGUAAAGAGCGUGUAGGCGGUUAGGUAGGUCCGGUGUGAAAACUCGAGGCUUAACCUCGAGAGGUCGCCGGAAACCCCCUGGCUAGAGUCCGGAAGAGGAGAGUGGAAUUCCUGGUGUAGCGGUGAAAUGCGCAGAUAUCAGGAAGAACACCGAUGGCGAAAGCAGCUCUCUGGGACGGUACUGACGCUGAGACGCGAAAGCGUGGGGAGCGAACAGG
This 253-nucleotide unclassified non-coding RNA is filed under the name uncultured Gaiellales bacterium. RNAcentral describes it as "contains 16S-23S intergenic spacer region". It matches the Rfam family "Bacterial small subunit ribosomal RNA", at positions 524 to 776 of the family's 1533-position model. The record is from RNAcentral. Lineage: Bacteria; Bacillati; Actinomycetota; Thermoleophilia; Gaiellales.